This 662-nucleotide long non-coding RNA is filed under the name Mus spicilegus (steppe mouse). RNAcentral describes it as "lncRNA (ENSMSIG00000015931.1)". The record is from RNAcentral. Lineage: Eukaryota; Metazoa; Chordata; Mammalia; Rodentia; Muridae.
CGCCUAUGCCAUUACCUGUUAGGAAUUCCUUGAAGAUGUGGGGAGCAGCCAACAUCUUGGCCUCCGUUUCUUUUUGCUGGAUCACUGGUGUUCCGGGAGCCAUUUUAGAUCUAACGCUAUGUGUCGAAGAUCAGGAUUCUGAAGAGUCAUAGGAGCCGGUGGUGUCUCCCUCUCCAUCCACUUCUUCAUCCCCCACAGCAUAGGACCCUGGGAAUGGGCACACAGCUGUAGAGCAGGUGCUGACAGCUGAGCCGUUCCACACACCUUUGGGGCAAAGAACUGCUGGAAGCCUGGGCCAAGUUCAAAGACCGAACAUUCUUUCCAAGGCAACCAGAAGCACCCUGGAGGGCUGGCUCCUAGUUACAUAAGCCACAGCUUCCUCAUUGGCUGAUGAACUCAUCUGGUGUUCCUAAGACCAACACCUUCAGUCCCAUUUCACAAAGUCCAAAUCACAAAGGAGGAAACUAUUUAUUUGAUGAAUGCUGUAUUGAAGGAGGCUCUCCUUCCCUUUAUACCUCACGAUGGUCCUAAAGAAGACCAGAUACAGAAGAAAAAGAUUCAAGGAGAAGACCUCUGCAGAGACACAGUCAAAGUGCUAUUUAAGGUAAAACUGGACCAAGACGACACGGGGUUGAAUGCCACCAUGGUGACUGUAAGAGGAG